RNAcentral lists this ribosomal RNA (253 nucleotides) under uncultured bacterium. RNAcentral's name for it is "partial 16S ribosomal RNA". It matches the Rfam family "Bacterial small subunit ribosomal RNA", at positions 524 to 776 of the family's 1533-position model. The record is from RNAcentral.
UACGGGGGGGGCAAGCGUUGUUCGGAAUUACUGGGCGUAAAGGGCUCGUAGGUGGCCAACUAAGUCAGACGUGAAAUCCCCAGGCUUAACCUGGGAACUGCGUCUGAUACUGGAUGGCUUGAAUUCGGGAGAGGGAUGCAGAAUUCCAGGUGUAGCGGUGAAAUGCGUAGAUAUCGGGAGGAACACCAACGGCGAAGGCAGCACUCUGGGCUGGAACUGACGCUGAGGAGCGAAAGCGUGGGUAGCAAACAGG